RNAcentral lists this ribosomal RNA (473 nucleotides) under uncultured bacterium. RNAcentral's name for it is "SSU rRNA". It matches the Rfam family "Bacterial small subunit ribosomal RNA", at positions 26 to 518 of the family's 1533-position model. The record is from RNAcentral.
AGGAUAAACGCUGGCGGCGUGCCUAACACAUGCAAGUCGAACGCGCUUUCGGGCUUCGGUGCGAGAGCGAGUGGCGGACGGGUGAGUAACACAUGGGUACCUACCUUGGAGUGAGGGAUACCGGCGAGAAAUCGCCGACAAUACCGCAUAGGCUUCUUCACAAGGGAAGCAAAGUGACGCGAGUCACGCUUUGAGAUGGGCCUGUGGCCGAUUAGCUAGUUGGGGGGGUAACGGCUUCCCAAGGCGACGAUCGGUAGCUGGUCUGAGAGGACGAUCAGCCACACUGGGAUCGAGAACGGCCCAGACUCCUACGGGGGGCAGCAGUGAGGAAUUUUCCGCAAUGGAGGCAACUCUGACGGAGCAACGCCGCGUGCAGGAGGAAGGUUUUCGGAUCGUAAACUGCUUUUCGUCGGGGAAGAGAACGGACGGUACCCGAGGAAUCGAGCCCCGGCUAACUACGCGCCAGCAGCCGC